Molecule: ribosomal RNA, 252 nt
Filed under: uncultured bacterium
Lineage: Bacteria
Description: partial 16S ribosomal RNA
Rfam family: Bacterial small subunit ribosomal RNA
Source: RNAcentral
UACGAAGGGGGCUAGCGUUGUUCGGAAUCACUGGGCGUAAAGGGGGCACAGGCGGAUUUUUAAGUCAGGGGUGAAAUCCCGAGGCUCAACCUCGGAACUGCCUUUGAUACUGGGGAUCUUGAGUCCGGAAGAGGUGAGUGGAACUGCGGGUGUAGAGGUGAAAUUCGUAGAUAUUCGCAAGAACACCGGUGGCGAAGGCGGCUCACUGGUCCGGAACUGACGCUGAGGCACGAAAGCGUGGGGAGCAAACAG